AGAGUUUGAUCCUGGCUCAGGACGAACGCUGGCGGCGUGCCUAAUACAUGCAAGUCGAGCGGAUUGAUGGGAGCUUGCUCCCUGAUAUUAGCGGCGGACGGGUGAGUAACACGUGGGUAACCUGCCUGUAAGAUUGGGAUAACUCCGGGAAACCGGAGCUAAUACCGGAUAAUAUGUUGAACCGCAUGGUUCAACAUUGAAAGAUGGCUUUUGCUAUCACUUACAGAUGGACCCGCGGCGCAUUAGCUAGUUGGUGAGGUAACGGCUCACCAAGGCGACGAUGCGUAGCCGACCUGAGAGGGUGAUCGGCCACACUGGGACUGAGACACGGCCCAGACUCCUACGGGAGGCAGCAGUAGGGAAUCUUCCGCAAUGGACGAAAGUCUGACGGAGCAACGCCGGCGUGAACGAUGAAGGCCUUCGGGUCGUAAAGUUCUGUUGUUAGGGAAGAACAAGUACCAGAGUAACUGCUGGUACCUUGACGGUACCUAACCAGAAAGCCACCGCUAACUACGUGCCAGCAGCCGCGGUAAUACGUAGGUGGCAAGCGUUGUCCGGAAUUAUUGGGCGUAAAGCGCGCGCAGGUGGUUUCUUAAGUCUGAUGUGAAAGCCCACGGCUCAACCCGUGGAGGGUCAUUGGAAACUGGGGAACUUGAGUGCAGAAGAGGAAAGUGGAAUUUCCAAGUGUAGCGGUGAAAUGCGUAGAGAUUUGGAGGAACACCAGUGGCGAARGCGACUUUCUGGUCUGUAACUGACACUGAGGCGCGAAAGCGUGGGGAGCGAACAGGAUUAGAUACCCUGGUAGUCCACGCCGUAAACGAUGUCGACUUGGAGGUUGUGCCCUUGAGGCGUGGCUUCCGGAGCUAACGCGUUAAGUCGACCGCCUGGGGAGUACGGCCGCAAGGUUAAAACUCAAAUGAAUUGACGGGGGCCCGCACAAGCGGUGGAGCAUGUGGUUUAAUUCGAUGCAACGCGAAGAACCUUACCUGGUCUUGACAUCCACGGAAGUUUUCAGAGAUGAGAAUGUGCCUUCGGGAACCGUGAGACAGGUGCUGCAUGGCUGUCGUCAGCUCGUGUUGUGAAAUGUUGGGUUAAGUCCCGCAACGAGCGCAACCCUUAUCCUUUGUUGCCAGCGGUCCGGCCGGGAACCUCAAAGGAGAACUGCCAGUGAUAAACUGGAGGAAGGUGGGGAUGACGUCAGGUCAUCAUGGCCCUUACGACCAGGGCUACACACGUGCUACAAUGGCGCAUACAAAGAGAAGCGACCUCGCGAGAGCAAGCGGACCUCAUAAAGUGCGUCGUAGUCCGGAUUGGAGUCUGCAACUCGACUCCAUGAAGUCGGAAUCGCUAGUAAUCGUGGAUCAGAAUGCCACGGUGAAUACGUUCCCGGGCCUUGUACACACCGCCCGUCACACCAUGGGAGUGGGUUGCAAAAGAAGUAGGUAGCUUAACCUUCGGGAGGGCGCUUACCACUUUGUGAUUCAUGACUGGGGUGAAGUCGUAACAAGGUAACCGUA
Molecule: ribosomal RNA, 1517 nt
Filed under: uncultured Bacilli bacterium
Lineage: Bacteria; Bacillati; Bacillota; Bacilli
Description: partial 16S ribosomal RNA
Rfam family: Bacterial small subunit ribosomal RNA
Source: RNAcentral